UGUCCAGACUCCUACGGGAGGCAGCAGUGAGGAAUAUUGGUCAAUGGCCGAGAGGCUGAACCAGCCAAGUCGCGUGAGGGAAGACGGCCCUACGGGUUGUAAACCUCUUUUGUCGGGGAGCAAAGAGAGUCACGUGUGACUCAUUGAGAGUACCCGAAGAAAAAGCAUCGGCUAACUCCGUGCCAGCAGCCGCGGUAAUACGGAGGAUGCGAGCGUUAUCCGGAUUUAUUGGGUUUAAAGGGUGCGUAGGCGGGAUGCCAAGUCAGCGGUCAAAUACGGGGGCUCAACCUGCGUCCGCCGUUGAAACUGGCGUUCUUGAGUGGGCGAGAAGUACGCGGAAUGCGUGGUGUAGCGGUGAAAUGCAUAGAUAUCACGCAGAACUCCGAUUGCGAAGGCAGCAUACCGGCGCCCGACUGACGCUGAGGCACGAAAGCGUGGGGAUCGAACAGGAUUAGAUACCCGGGUAC
Molecule: ribosomal RNA, 467 nt
Filed under: uncultured bacterium
Lineage: Bacteria
Description: bacterial SSU rRNA
Rfam family: Bacterial small subunit ribosomal RNA
Source: RNAcentral